Molecule: RNA transcript, 2021 nt
Organism: Onychostoma macrolepis
Lineage: Eukaryota; Metazoa; Chordata; Actinopteri; Cypriniformes; Cyprinidae
Exons: 8
Source: RefSeq, a predicted model, not a curated record
CACGUCUGGUUAGCUAUCCUUGUAGGGAGUCUAGGGACUUUUAUAAGCGUAAUGGUUUUUAUACUGUACAAACCGAAGUUUUCUAAUUCUUGCUUAACUCAGUCUAAGUCAAGUAAAACCUUUCUACUUAGAACAGUGAUGAAAAUUGUGCCAUAAAAAUCAGAAACACGGUGCAGUGGUCUGAGGUUCGCAGUCCCCCGGCUGAACACCAGCACCGGCUCAGAUUUCAGCAGUGUAGCUGUACACAACGGCACGAAAACCAGUGCCAUUUCGGUUGAUUAGCCUACUCUUCAAUUAAAAUAGAGUGGCCACGUCCCAUGCAUUUGCAUGGUGGUUAAAUCCACUACUGGCAACUCCCCGUUUAAAGCAUCUGCUUUCCAUUUUAAUGCAUUUAACCCAACUUUUAAAAAGAAAUCACCAAAGGAACUGAAUCACUGAGGUCACAGAGCUAAACAAUGUGGACAUGAUGGCAGACAACACUAAUGUCAAUGCGAAAGAAAGGCUCAGACAGAGCAAAGACACUCUGUAAGUCGUACAAAUAAAAGUAAACCUUUAUAUAUUUAAGUCUUUCCUCUGUACUGGUUCUUCUUCUUUUCUAGUCAGUCUUGAAAACACAUCAGUGCCAGUAACAGAAGCCAGUACCUCAGAUGACAAUGUGAUAUUUAUUUCAUCCUCCAAGAUUUGAAUGUGCAUUUCCUCCUUGAUGUUUAAUUCGGUCAAGUAACACCUGUCUACUCAGAACAGAGAAUCAUGAGCAUCAUGCCAUAAAAGUCAGGAGCUCAAUCACAAACCUCACAGAGCUGAAGAAUAUGGACAUGAUGGCAGAGAACACUGACGUUAAUGUGAAAGACAAGGAGAGACAGAGCAAAGACUAUUCUAAUAACUUCUGUUUCAAAAACACAUCAAUGCCAAUAACAGAUGACUCGGUGUUUAAAUGUUGGUGUCAUGAGGUUUUCAUACCAAACCAAAGACCAGAGAGAUGCAGUCCAGGAUCGGAUGAGACACCAUCUGGUAAGUCAUCUGAAAGAAACUCUAUCAGCUCCAUCGAUUCAUUUGACUCAGGAUAUGAUUCAAAAAGAUGCACACGCAUUUUCGCCAUCUCUGAAUUUGAUGAAUGUAACAAACAAAAUCCUUUAUGAACUUCGAACAAGACCAGCAGGACAGACAUUAGCCACUGCUAAAGUUUCAAUGUCCACAGGUGACACUCCAAAUAUCCGAACAAUGACCAGCCAUGAAUUGGUUUGUGAUUCAGUCAGAAUUAUUUGGAAAGAUCACUUAUACACUCUGAAACAUUCAGAAUAGUUUCUCAAUCGAUCAACAGUAACAAAGUACAUUACCCUGAUCAGAUUUGUGAAAUUAUAUUCAUUUAUGAAUAUCCAUGAUAUGACUAUGAAUAUCCCUGAAUUUAUCUUUAUUUAUCAUUAGAUCAGCUAAGCAUUAUAUAAUUUUUGUGAACAUUAUUAAAGUUGUAAAGAGAUGUCAGUAAGAGCAUAAACUAUACCUCACAUUUCACACUGGGGUCAUAUUGUCAUUUAUAAGUUCUACUAAAGUCAAGGCUUAGUUCUUGAAAAUUAUGUCAUGUGAUUUUCAUCCAGUAGACUGAAAAGGAAUAUAUUGCUAUGACAAAUAUCUAAAAACGUGCAUACAGGCAUCUGAAGUGAAACAUUGCUAGAGCUUGCAAUGUAGAUCAUGCUGCACGUCACACACAAACACCCUUCUGUUGUAAAGACCUUGUUUUACCUGUUGUGCUAUUAUAGAAAGUAUCUGUUGUAACUAUCUGUUUUUUUUUAUGUAUGUAUAUACUGUAUGUUUUGUCCACUGAAUGUCCAAGCAAUUGUCCAAGUUUGGGGAUUUUGUUUUUAAAAAAACAUCAAUGUUUUUGAACAGCUUGUGUAUUUUAUACAGUACUUUAUUAAAUGAAAUGCAUUUUGUAAUGCAUGUUUAAAUUCAUCUUGAGGUCAAAGAAUUAUUUUCAGUGUAAAAGUCUUUAUCUUGACUAUAUUAUUUAAAAAAUAAACACU